This 1327-nucleotide long non-coding RNA is filed under the name Monodelphis domestica (gray short-tailed opossum). Its description in RNAcentral is "lncRNA (ENSMODG00000049119.1)". Lineage: Eukaryota; Metazoa; Chordata; Mammalia; Didelphimorphia; Didelphidae. The record is from RNAcentral.
GAGAAAGGAUCCAUUAGUAGAAGGUGGUUCCCAAUAUUAAAUUCUACAAAAACAUCAAGAAGGACAAGGAGUAAGAAAAAGCCAUGGAGUUUGGGAAUUAGAAAGUCAUGAAUGACCUUGGGGGAAAGGAUUUCAGUAGAACAGUAGGUACAGAAGCUAAAAUGCUUAGGUUUGAGAACAAGGACCUGGUUGUCUUGUUGUCCUUUGCUUUAGUCUGGCCACAUCCAGAGUAUUGUAUUUAGUUCUGGGUACCAUAUUUUAAGAAGGAUGUUGACAACCUGUAGAGGGGAGUCAACCAGUCUGGAGAGACCAUACAGUACAGAACGUUUAGCCUGGGCAAGAAAAGACUUAAGAGUAUGACAAAGAGUUGAUCAAGGAUGAAUAUAGUAAGAAGACUUCCCGCUUAUUUCCACAUAGUGUGUCAUUCUGUCCUAGGCUAUCAACCUACUUGAAGAACAGCACUGAAAAAGAAAAGAUGUAUGGUCAUUAUGAUCCCCAAAUCUGUGGGCUAAAAAAUCAACUGAAAUCAAAAGACUGCAGAGGCUUUGAGUAGGACCCUGCUGAUGAACUUAGUGCCCUAUGUCCAAGGACCAGCCUCGCAAAGGGAAGAAAAGCCUCAGCAGCAAAAGGUUAACCACAAGGGCUGUUUUCACCACGGCACCAAAGCCAUAUUAGACAUUGUGGAGGAUAUGAAGAAGGAGGAACAAUUCCUGCCCUCUGGAACUGUGGUCUCCAAAUGUUUUUGAUCAGACAUCUCAUUAGUAAAAAAAUUUGAACAUAUACUUCCAAUACAUGUGUGUUUUGUACAUAUAACAUAUGUGUAAAGUGCACGUAUAAAUCUAUAUGUGUCUGUUAUUUAUUUCUAAAUUAUACAUGUGUACUACUGUUCUGAGGUAUACAUUGAAGUAAAAGAAUGCGAUAAAGAAGAAAUAAUUAAUAUUUCAGAAUAUUAUUUGUCAACAUACAAAAUCCUAUCUUCACUAAAAUUAUCUUUCAUAAUAAUUCCAUAUUUUAGUAAGAGCAAUGUCAUGGAGUUUAUUUUUUUUUUUUACUCUGGGUAUAACCUGGAAGAUAGGGUAAUCCUAUAAAUGACAGUUGUUAGUAAUUAAUUACUUAGUUAAUUUGAAUGUAGGUAGCUAAGCAGCUGAAUAUCUUUUUUUAAAGAUAUUUCUUACUUGUAAGAUAUAUAAUAUAAUAACCAAAUAAUUUCAUAAUGGUCAGUGAACAUAAGAGCUUUUCAGCAAGGACCAUAUUUCUUAGUAUGGAUAUUUACCAUACACAAUGCAAAGAUGACAAACAAUAGCAAAAUUCUGAAUUCAAUUCAGCA